UGACGAUGGUAGAAGUUUUUGAAAAUCAAAGUGCUUGACCUACACUACUAGCUAUCCUUUUUUCAAUCCAUCACCAGCUUUUUGGCUGAUCAAAUAUCAAUGGCAUGCUUGUACACACCAACCUCAUUGUUGUGGAAGGCUCAAUGUGUUUCUUUGCCAACCAACCAAGUUCUCUAGGACUCUAAGCUCAUUGGCAUUUAUCUGG
RNAcentral lists this long non-coding RNA (205 nucleotides) under Elaeis guineensis (African oil palm). Its description in RNAcentral is "long non-coding RNA (EGUI_LNC080448)". The record is from RNAcentral. Lineage: Eukaryota; Viridiplantae; Streptophyta; Magnoliopsida; Arecales; Arecaceae.